This 77-nucleotide transfer RNA is filed under the name Baekduia soli. RNAcentral's name for it is "tRNA-Met". It matches the Rfam family "tRNA". Rfam says of the family: Transfer RNA (tRNA) molecules are approximately 80 nucleotides in length. Their secondary structure includes four short double-helical elements and three loops (D, anti-codon, and T loops). RNAcentral also lists the same sequence under 2 other names. Lineage: Bacteria; Bacillati; Actinomycetota; Thermoleophilia; Solirubrobacterales; Baekduiaceae. The record is from RNAcentral.
CGCGGGGUGGAGCAGUCUGGUAGCUCGUCGGGCUCAUAACCCGAAGGUCGCAGGUUCGAAUCCUGCCCCCGCUACUA